GAUGAACGCUGGCGGCGUGCCUAAUACAUGCAAGUAGAACGCUGAAGGAAGGAGCUUGCUCUUUCCGGAUGAGUUGCGAACGGGUGAGUAACGCGUAGGUAACCUGCCUGGUAGCGGGGGAUAACUAUUGGAAACGAUAGCUAAUACCGCAUAACAGUAGAUGUUGCAUGAUAUCUACUUAAAAGGUGCAAUUGCACCACUACCAGAUGGACCUGCGUUGUAUUAGCUAGUUGGUGAGGUAACGGCUCACCAAGGCGACGAUACAUAGCCGACCUGAGAGGGUGAUCGGCCACACUGGGACUGAGACACGGCCCAGACUCCUACGGGAGGCAGCAGUAGGGAAUCUUCGGCAAUGGACGGAAGUCUGACCGAGCAACGCCGCGUGAGUGAAGAAGGUUUUCGGAUCGUAAAGCUCUGUUGUAAGAGAAGAACGAGUGUGAGAGUGGAAAGUUCACACUGUGACGGUAUCUGACCAGAAAGGGACGGCUAACUACGUG
This 497-nucleotide ribosomal RNA is filed under the name uncultured bacterium. RNAcentral describes it as "partial 16S ribosomal RNA". It matches the Rfam family "Bacterial small subunit ribosomal RNA", at positions 28 to 507 of the family's 1533-position model. The record is from RNAcentral.